UAAAUAUUUUUUUAAAAAAAUUACAACAUAGAAUUAAACAAUGGGUAAGAGCCUUUACCCAAAAAAAAAAAUAAUCGGACUUCUAACUGGUCAUCUAAAAAUCAAAUGUUGGGACAUCACCAGAAGUGGCAGAAAAUGCUCUAUACAUGGUUCGAUCGAUGAAGUUCCGGUAAGGAUCCUCCUCUCUUUUCUUAAGCAAAUAAUUCAUGUUAUUUUGAACUUCAGAUUUUACCUGCAAGUAUAAUUCUCUUGCUUUUUCUCUAUCUUUCACCAGGUCUUGCCUUCCCUUUGUAUGAAUUGGUUUCCCAAAAAAGAAGUAAAAACGACCGGGUAUCUUAGGUAAAAGGCCAGGGAUAUACAACAUUUGGUUGGCAAUCUCCCCGUCCAUGUCCGCCCUGACUGCUAAGCCCCUCCUGGCUGCCUCUUCGUUCUCACUCCUUAUCCGAUCACCCAAUAUAGGUAUACUUUUUAGGUCGUCAUAGUCGAGAACUAACUGUGCUAUAUCAUCUUCUCCUACAACCCCAAAUGGCACAAUUGUCGCACCAAAUUUUGCAGCCAUUCUGAUGAAUUCUGGUUGGUCAGGCCAUAUCACCUUGUACUCUUCUCCCUUACGAUGUAAGGCCUCACGGGCACCACCAGGAUACAACAGAACAUGUGACUUUGUUGCAAGCAACUUAAAAAAGUUGCUGGCAGUGACAGGUGUAGCUCCAUAUAGUUUCAGCAUAUCAAUGAAUGAGCUUGCAUCAGGUCGACUCUCAACCAGCUGAGUAAACAACGAUGGAUGUGCUAUUCCACGAAGUAAAAUUUUCGUCUGCAUCAUAUAUUCUUGAACAAGAGGGACAAUUUCUAAACCCAUAAGCAUGUGAUAACCGACCAACAAUACAGGGCCUUCACGUGGGACCCCCGCUAGACCUCUAACAAUUUUCCCAUUUUCCAUCGUGGACAGCAUAACUGGUCCAGUAAUAUUGAGAUACCAACUAUUGUUCUUGAUUGCGUUCUUGAACUCUGACUUACUAGGAGGCAGAAAAUCUUUGACAUAAUCACGCCUUUUUGAACGACGAUAUUUGCUAGUAGCUUUGAUGAUGGAUAGCAGAUUAAUACCAUCUUCCAAUAAAAUAGUAUGCCCGUUGUCUUUGAAGUAUCGUACUGUGCAGUUUCUUAAUGAAUUUCCAAGCCUCUGAGCUUCAUUCUCACUUGGAAGCAUGUUAUCCUUGCCACUAGCAAUCACAAGUACUUCAGCAUUAACAGCAUGGAGACGGGAAUUUGAAUAAGAUGAAGCAGAUCUUAGAAGCUUCAACUUCCAGAGAAGAGUUUCCUUCGGUAUAAUAUCAGCUAAACCAUAGAGGUGGGCCAGCAAAUCAGUGAGGUUGCCAGCGAGACGUUGAAUAAUUUGUCCAGGAGGAAGCAUUGAAUCAAUGUUAACCAUCG
RNAcentral lists this unclassified non-coding RNA (1428 nucleotides) under Hevea brasiliensis (rubber tree). The record is from RNAcentral. Lineage: Eukaryota; Viridiplantae; Streptophyta; Magnoliopsida; Malpighiales; Euphorbiaceae.